ACAAAGUUGUCAUAAAGGAUUUGGAGCCCUCUAAAUCCCAUUCAUUUUAAUGGAAGUUGGCCUUUUGAUUCAGCUUUGAAAAUCUCAGGCCAAGGUGCCAACCAAAUAAGUCAAAAUAUAUUUUGCAUUUCUAUGCAGUGCAUCUAUGUGGGGCUCUCCAAGCAUUUUACAAACAUUCAAUGAAACUCAGGAUAUCCCUGCUUUUCAGAAGAAAUGUGGUGGUGAGGAAAUUCUGGGAACAUCUCUCGCGCUGUGUGUGAUCUGUUUCUACUGUCCUUGGACCACCCUAGAAAGGCCCUUACUGCCUCAUUUCCAGUUCACAGAAGAUGUGCUCCUGGAUAAUUUUCUCAAAGAGCUUCCUCAGGGCCAAGUCUUGGCACAUCCCAUCAAUGAUGACAACGACUGGACCAUCUGGCUUCAAGAUAUUGGAUUUUUCUUCUUCACAUAUUACUUGCUACACACUCUAUUAAAUAUAUCAUUGAACUGAUUUUGACUUUUUUCUCACCUUUUGGUUUUCUUUUAACUUAUCUUGCUCAUCAGGGAAGUUUCCUAGAGCUAUCUCGAGGCUGAAUUAAUCACAAUAUAGCAGUCUCAACUGAGAAUUUUCUUGCUUUCAUUCAUUUAUUUUAAUCUGUUAUAAUAGAUUACUGGUCCAUGCAUCAGAUCUAGAAAAUGCAGGCUCCCUGCAGCCAUAUGUUAGAACCUUGGCAGAGUGGACUUAUUCCAACAUCUUCUGAGGAAGAUAAUCUGAAUACUGUGAAGUUUGCUGUGUGCGUCUUACAGAUAAGAUAACUUUUAAAAAUGAGAUCUGUUUGCUCUGCAUGGCGAUACCUUUUUUUAGAAACAGGAGUUUGUGUUGGCUAAACUUUUUGUUGGCUAAAAUUUUGAUCCUCCCACUGUUUUGUAAUAUGCUACAUAGUACAGAGUAAGUGCAAAUUUAGAUGCAAAAAGCCCUUAGGUUUAACCCUGGUUCUGUCACUAACUCAUUAAGUGGCCUUAAGUAAGUCACUUGAUCUUACAGUCUUAUUUUCAGGAAAGCAUGAUGUUCUGUUUUACAGUCAAAUUCAUGGAAAUGUCAGAAUAAAUAACUGUUUAAUGUUUGCACAGUGAUUUUCAGAUAUGAAGUGUUAUCUAUUAUUAGUUCUUUUCUUCCCUAGUUGCUGGUAUCUUUCCUUCCAAAUGUUUAGGAAGUAUUAAAAACAGUUUAUGAAGUGCUUUGGGAUGCUACAGGCAAAAACAUUUUCCACACCUUUAAAAUAUUAUCUAGAUUGUUUUGUUAAAUGUAUACACAUAGUUCCAUAAAUACUUAUGCAAAUGUUUAUAGAAAAAAUGAUAAAUAGUGUCAUGCCACCAAAAGUAAUUGUAUGUUUGUUACUUAACUUCUUGCAUAUAUAACUUUUCCAAUUCAGCUAUAUCGUACUGUGAAGUUUUAAAGAGAUAUUGUCAUUUUGUUGUG
This is a long non-coding RNA of Alligator mississippiensis (American alligator), 1456 nucleotides long. RefSeq lists it as uncharacterized. Lineage: Eukaryota; Metazoa; Chordata; Crocodylia; Alligatoridae. The record is from RefSeq and is a predicted model, not a curated record. The transcript has 3 exons.